UGACCACUCAAGCCCAGCUUGGUAUUGGGGUUCGCGGUCUCGCGGCUCCUAAAAUCAGUGGCGGUGCCGUCUGGCUCUAAGCGUAGUAAUUCUCUCGCUAUAGAGUUCGGUCGGUUGCUUGCCAAAACCCCCUUAACUUCUCAC
Molecule: unclassified non-coding RNA, 144 nt
Filed under: uncultured Meliniomyces
Lineage: Eukaryota; Fungi; Ascomycota; Leotiomycetes; Helotiales; Helotiaceae
Description: sequence contains ITS2
Source: RNAcentral